GCCCCCGUAGCUCAGUAAUGGAUAGAGCAAGGGAUUCCUAAUCCCUGGGUCGCCCGUUCGAGUCGGGCCGGGGGCACCA
This 79-nucleotide transfer RNA is filed under the name Deltaproteobacteria bacterium. RNAcentral describes it as "tRNA-Arg". It matches the Rfam family "tRNA". Rfam says of the family: Transfer RNA (tRNA) molecules are approximately 80 nucleotides in length. Their secondary structure includes four short double-helical elements and three loops (D, anti-codon, and T loops). Lineage: Bacteria; Pseudomonadati; Myxococcota; Myxococcia. RNAcentral also lists the same sequence under 1 other name. The record is from RNAcentral.